ACAUACGACCAUAGCUCGUGGAGAACUGAGGGUCCCGUCCGCUCCCCUGAACAUAAACCGCGAAGCGCCGGACUAGUAGUUGGGUCGGUGACGACCAGCGAAUCCCCGGUGUUGUAUGUC
This 120-nucleotide ribosomal RNA is filed under the name Candidatus Bathyarchaeota archaeon. Lineage: Archaea; Thermoproteati; Candidatus Bathyarchaeota. The record is from RNAcentral.